GCAUAUCAAUAAGCGGAGGAAAAGAAACCAACCGGGAUUGCCUUAGUAACGGCGAGUGAAGCGGCAAAAGCUCAAAUUUGAAAUCUGGCGUCUUCGACGUCCGAGUUGUAAUUUGAAGAAGGCGACUUUGUAGCUGGUCCUUGUCUAUGUUCCUUGGAACAGGACGUCAUAGAGGGUGAGAAUCCCGUGUGGCGAGGAUCCCAGUUAUUUGUAAAGUGCUUUCGACGAGUCGAGUUGUUUGGGAAUGCAGCUCUAAGUGGGUGGUAAAUUCCAUCUAAAGCUAAAUAUUGGCGAGAGACCGAUAGCGAACAAGUACAGUGAUGGAAAGAUGAAAAGAACUUUGAAAAGAGAGUGAAAAAGUACGUGAAAUUGUUGAAAGGGAAGGGCAUUUGAUCAGACAUGGCGUUUGCUUCGGCUUUCGCUGGGCCAGCAUCAGUUUUAGCGGUUGGAUAAAUCCUCGGGAAUGUGGCUCUGCUUCGGUAGAGUGUUAUAGCCCGUGGGAAUACAGCCAGCUGGGACUGAGGAUUGCGACUUUUGUCAAGGAUGCUGGCGUAAUGGUUAAAUGCCGCCCGUCUUGAAACACGGACCA
This 589-nucleotide ribosomal RNA is filed under the name Kluyveromyces marxianus. RNAcentral describes it as "partial large subunit ribosomal RNA". It matches the Rfam family "Eukaryotic large subunit ribosomal RNA", at positions 38 to 668 of the family's 3401-position model. Lineage: Eukaryota; Fungi; Ascomycota; Saccharomycetes; Saccharomycetales; Saccharomycetaceae. The record is from RNAcentral.